This 366-nucleotide ribosomal RNA is filed under the name uncultured Salmonella sp. RNAcentral describes it as "bacterial SSU rRNA". It matches the Rfam family "Bacterial small subunit ribosomal RNA", at positions 505 to 871 of the family's 1533-position model. The record is from RNAcentral. Lineage: Bacteria; Pseudomonadati; Pseudomonadota; Gammaproteobacteria; Enterobacterales; Enterobacteriaceae.
GUGCCAGCCGCCGCGGUAAUACGGAGGGUGCAAGCGUUAAUCGGAAUUACUGGGCGUAAAGCGCACGCAGGCGGUCUGACAAGUCGGAUGUGAAAUCCCCGGGCUCAACCCGGGAACUGCAUUCGAAACUGUCGGGCUGGAGUCUUGUAGAGGGGGUAGAAUUCCAGGUGUAGCGGUGAAAUGCGUAGAGAUCUGGAGGAAUACCGGUGGCGAAGGCGGCCCCCUGGACAAAGACUGACGCUCAGGUGCGAAAGCGUGGGAGCAAACAGGAUUAGAUACCCUGGUAGUCCACGCCGUAAACGAUGUCUAUUUGGAGGUUGUGCCCCUUGAGGCGUGGCUUCCGGAGCUAACGCGUUAAAUAGACCG